UAUAUAUAUAUAUAUAUAUAGGAGAGGUGAGACAGAAACUAACGUAAAUGAUAAUGGAGUGGCUAUUAUGGGAAUAGUUGUUGAAGUUGUGGACCUGUAGUCUCACAUGGUGCAAUAAAACGUUAAAAUGGUUAAUUAAAAAACCAAAUUUUUUACGCUAGGUCGCGUAAAGGCCAGAAACGCAAGGGUCGGAACGCGAGGAUACAAUUCUUAUGACUCUAAUAUUGAUUGAAAUCGACAAAGUCCUCGACAACAAUGCCAUUUUUAAUGGAAAAACACUGGGUAAAUGCUUCUAGGAUGUUUUUAAAGAUACAUCUUUGAAUUCACCUUAAAAAAUCUUGAAGAUGCAUCUACAGACUAAUUUUUUGGCAAAAAUAUGGUGACUGUUUGAUUUAAAAAAAAUAAAAAGAUUUAAAGUGGAUUCGGAUAUUGCUUUCAACAUAGUAGCCUAUCAUGACUUUAUUUUGAAUUGUGUUGGAAACGGGUGAAACCCUGGUUAUCAAAAAGGUUCUUCAAGACAAAGAGGUAAGCUUACUGCUCACAAAAUUAAUUCAUAUGUUAUAUUUUACAUGCCUAUUAGUAUAGCAAUGUGAUCGCCGACUCACAUUUUGUCA
Molecule: long non-coding RNA, 614 nt
Organism: Lathyrus oleraceus (garden pea)
Lineage: Eukaryota; Viridiplantae; Streptophyta; Magnoliopsida; Fabales; Fabaceae
Exons: 2
Source: RefSeq, a predicted model, not a curated record